Portunus trituberculatus (swimming crab) is the source of this 253-nucleotide long non-coding RNA. RefSeq lists it as uncharacterized. The transcript is spliced from 3 exons. The record is from RefSeq and is a predicted model, not a curated record. Lineage: Eukaryota; Metazoa; Arthropoda; Malacostraca; Decapoda; Portunidae.
CUCUAUAGGCCUAACCGGAGAGGAAGAAGAACAGGAAGAAGAGGAGGAGGAGGAGGAGGAGGAGGAGGCAGUGACCUUUUUCCGAACAUAGGCAUUACUUAUAAGUGACAUUAAAUUCACUUUCGCGAUUGGUGACACGUGUUUAGAGGGUCGUUUUGUAUUAUUAAGCCAGGUAACAUCCAUUAGCGACAGGUAGACAUAGGCAAGUACAUAGAUAGCGCUGUUAGUAGUUAUGAAGGCAGACAGUGUUGGA